Non-coding RNA from Triticum aestivum (bread wheat), 136 nucleotides. Lineage: Eukaryota; Viridiplantae; Streptophyta; Magnoliopsida; Poales; Poaceae. The record is from Rfam.
CAAAUACUCCCUCCGUCCGGAAAUACUUGUCAUCAAAAUGGAUAAAAAGGAAAUAUAUUUGGACGUAUUUUAGUUUUAGAUACAUCUAUUUUUAUCCAUUUUGAUGAUAAGUAUUUUCGGACGGAGGGAGUAGAAA